UUACCGUGAAAAAAUUAGAGUGUUCAAAGCAGGCAGAUCCAAUUUUCUGCCACCGAAUACAUUAGCAUGGGAUAAUGGAAUAGGACCCUGUCCUCCUAUUUUCAGUUGGUUUUGGCACGCGAGGACCAGGGUAAUGAUUAAUAGGGAUAGUCGGGGGCAUUAAUAUUUAAUUGUCAGAGGUGAAAUUCUUGGAUUUAUGAAAGAUUAACUUCUGCGAAAGCAUCUGCCAAGGAUGUUUUCAUUAAUCAAGAACGAAAGUAGGGGAUCGAAGACGAUCAGAUACCGUCGUAGUCUUAACCAUAAACGAUGCCGACCAGCGAUUAGGAGACGUUGAAUACAAAACACCACCAUCGGUGCGGUCGUCCUUGGCGCGUCGCGGCUUGCCGUGGCGUGCGAGGGCGGUUAGCCUAGCUUA
RNAcentral lists this ribosomal RNA (415 nucleotides) under Acanthamoeba hatchetti. RNAcentral describes it as "SSU rRNA". It matches the Rfam family "Eukaryotic small subunit ribosomal RNA", at positions 752 to 1082 of the family's 1831-position model. Lineage: Eukaryota; Discosea; Longamoebia; Acanthamoebidae. The record is from RNAcentral.